GACAAUUUUAGAAAUAAAAAAUUAGGAAAAAGAAAAAGAACGGAACAAACGAAAAAAAGAAAAAGAAAAAGAAAAGGAAAAGUCGGAGUUGACAAUUUCAUCCAAUCCCCCGGCGGCGGCGGAGGCUGUAGAUUCGUCCCUAAGGCGUUGGAAUUCUCAGCUCGACGGUGCGAUCAACGAAGAGACCAAAUCCGAAAUUCCCUCAAUCGAAGCUCCGCCAUGGUGUUGAACAGUCCUCUUGUUCUUUGGGUCGCCAAUAUUUCUGCCGAUCUCUGUCAAUACAUUGCUUGUAAUCCCGAGCGCUUCAAUAGCCACCAUGUUCUUUACCUCAUCUUCUGUUUCCCUUUCCGCCAUUUCCGCCGUAUCUCCCUUUCCAUUGUCUCCUCUCUCUGCCUUCCUUCUCUUCUCUCUUCUUCUUCCUCUUCAUCCUCCGAUUCCAAUUCCGAUUCCAAUUCCGAUUCCGAUUCUGACGACCUCGAUUCCUACGACUACAAUUCUCAUUCCGAUUGAUUUCCUCUACUCUACUCUAUUUUACCCUUUUCAUCUCUUUCUGGGUUGUAGUAUAAUGAUUGUUGAUUCAAUUGGAUGUUUAAUCGCUCUUGUAAAAACUUUAUUCUAUCUUUAUACUAAUGAAAACUAGACGCGUGAUAUUGUAAAUUUCUUUGUUUCUCUUUCGUUUAACGUUUUGUUUGACUGGUGAAGCUUAGGAAUUGAUUGAGGAUGCAUUUCACGUACCUUGGCAGGGUUUUUGUUCUUUGAUUAUGUUUAAUCGUUGGUCUGGUUGUUGAUGUUGUUGAUUUAUUCUUAGUUUUACUUUCAUUAUUGUCUCUUAGGUAUGAAGAAAUUGGAUUCUUUAGGUAAUUUUUGUUGCAGGGCUGCUUGGAUAUGGUUCAUCUUGUUUUCUUUUGGUUACGGCUGCUCCUAUAGCUGCUCCAAACUACGUGGAAUACAUGUACCAAAUAGUAAUGUUUCUACCUUCUUCUCCCUUUAUGCAUUACUUUUUUAUGGGGCUGGUGUUUGAUUGAUUUAAUAUGUUGCACUUCUUGCAAAUUUUCAUCAUAAACUCUGGUGGUCAUAUUUUACUCUAUCUUGUACUAUAUUUUGUAUAGUUUCCAUGCCACGUGGUUUAUCAAUUUUUUCUUGAGCUGAUUUUGAUAUGAGUGGAGUCUUUGCUUUUGAGGCUCUUUUCGAGUUUUUGAUCAAUGUAGAUACAAUGCGGGCAUCAUUAGUCCCAUGUGAAGACCAGAAGCUGGGGUCUUGAUUCUAUUCAAGUGCUUUCUUUCACAUCUUUGUUGAAGUUCCUUUCCAAAUCGUGUUCAUCACUUUUAAUAGUCUCUUAAUGGCUUAAUCUUUGAAAGUUCAUGGACCUUCUUCGGCUUUUUGUGUUAAGUCGCAAUGGUUUAUUUAAUAUCUAACAAAGAAAAGUCCUUUACUUUCUGUCGAACGCGAUUCUGAAUCUUGGCUAAUUAGUAUUUAUUUACUUUCCAUUUGGUGAGGGAAGUUUGGUUCAAACUCCUUUUUCAAUUUGAUUUUUCUUUUUUUAUACUUAAAGCUGCAAACUUCCAUCUGAAGAAGAGUGUUCUUUUGGGACUCUCUUAUUCUGGUGUUUAUUUGGUGUUGUGAAUAGACUUAGAGAUAAGAGGGCUUUAUGAAUUAGAUUGAUUGAUGACUGCAGGUCAAAUUUGGCGAAGAUUGAAGUUUGCUCUCAUUUAGGAUUAAAAUUGUUAAAAUGGUUAAUUUGUUUCUUCUUUUGCUAAUCUGUAUUUAUUGGGUUUGUUUCUUCUUUUGCUGGUUUGCAUCAUCAUACACGGAUCUCUUUUCUGUAAAUUCUCCCAUUUUCUUUUGUGCUCAAUUCCCGUGUUGCUUCAAAUUUUAUUAUGAAAAAUGUGUUUAUCCCUCUAUUUGUUCUUCCCGUUUCUAUCUUACUAAGCAGGAAUGAGGAACGUAAAUGCCAAAAAGUUCCUUCCCCCUUUUUGUUAAUAAGUCUCGGACAUGUUAGAAGGUAAAAAGUUUAGUCGAUGGAAGCUUUAUGCAUUGCCUUCAUUGAUGUCAAAGAUAUUGCGGGAAACAGAAGUAGUUGUAUGUACAUAAAGAGAUUUAUACGUGCAUAUUAAAGUCUAACAUUGGAUGCACAAUAAAGAAAAACUUAACGAGUCUAGCUUCAUGUAAUUACAAUUAACCAUGGCAUGAUUUAACUCUUCAUUACUCGUAUAAAUGAUCACAUGGUCUGAAACUCUAUUCUGUUGAAAGCUUGGGUGGUUAGAGGUUGAUAUUCAAUGCUUGAGGAGGUAUUUUUUAAUCAUCUUUUUCAUGUCAAAGGAAGGGUACUUUGGCAUCUUUUUCUUUUUCCUCUCACUUUGUUGGGGGUAUUAGGCUUGAGAAGAAUAGUAGAAUCUCUAGGAUGUGAUUAGGUUUGAGUCUAACACAUCCAUAUACUCAUGUAGGCGUUGGCUAAUACAAUUUUUUGUAGUUAUCAGUUUGGUAUUAUUUUUUUUUAACGGAACCUCUUUCUGUAAUUGAGCGUGAAGGACUAUUUUGUUAGUUUCUUGUAGGGGGAAAAAAAAACUCACUGUACCUUCUUCAUGGUCGGUUACCGGCCCUGUUUUAGUUUUAGCAUUUGCUGUAUGUGACUUUUACAUUAUCUAUUUGAUUGUUUCAUCCCUACUUUAUGUGCAUGUCUUUUUUAUACUUUUUCCUUAAGAGUAGGUUCAUUUUGACUUACAGCUUCUUGAAGUCGCUUUUCGAUUUUACUUGUUAUUCUUACCUCACUGCAGCCUGAUGGUCACUCUUGACCUUAACUUAGAUAUUCAUGGGUUAUGUUAAGCUGAAGCAAAAUGAACAUGACAAAUUGAGUGUUGGGCCCUUCAGUUUGUGGUUGAUGAUGUUUAGAGAAUUCUGGCAGCAGCGUACACUAUUGCUUUCAGCUUCUCAGCAUGCCUGGUUCUGUUUAGCUGUUUGCCACUUGGAGUAGGUGAAUGAAUUUGGCAUAUUUAUUGAAAAGGACUAUAGUAGGUGAUGGUUUUCAAUGCUUGUGCUGGAUGGAAAGACUUCUCUCUCCCUGUGCCCCCACAUGCUGGAAAAGCUUCUUAUUUUCUGCAAACGGUGGAGUCUCCAAUUGUGUUAUGUUUAAAGAGCUUCUUACUGAGGUGAUGUAAUUGCUUUUAAAGUUGGUAAUUGUUUGGAGAGUUGAAAUCUUGAGAAUUGGAGUAGCGUUGAAAAAACGCAAGCAACGUUUGAAAAUUAGAUCGUGAAAUGUGAAAAUAAUUAGAGAGAAAAGAUUGGAUUGAAAAUUGUUGGACUGAAGUCAAUUGUGUAUUAUAAAUUGGACUCAAUCCAAAAGAUAGUUUUUGGGUUGCAUUACAUUACAAACAUGUCGCAUUAUAAUCCAUCAAAUACCCCUUAAAAGUUUAUUGAAUAAGUUACUAUUGUCAGUAGUUA
This is a long non-coding RNA of Cucumis melo (muskmelon), 3438 nucleotides long. RefSeq lists it as uncharacterized. The transcript has 2 exons. The record is from RefSeq and is a predicted model, not a curated record. Lineage: Eukaryota; Viridiplantae; Streptophyta; Magnoliopsida; Cucurbitales; Cucurbitaceae.